UUUUUGAGGAAAAAGAGAAUAUCAGAGAAUCACUUUGUAACUAAGUCAAGUAGCUAUAGCAAUGGGGUGGUGUGGAUCUAUUAAAAGAUGAAAAAGAAAUAGAGAUUGGAGUGAAGUUAAAUCAAGGAUAUGAUAGUUUCAAUCUCCCAAUCUCUACUGCUUUUAUGUUCAGAUACUAGAUAGCUAUAAACAAGAAACAAAAUGUAAAGGAGAGAAUAUUAUACAGAACAUUAAAUAAGUAGGUGUAUGAUCAGAGAAUUAGGGCAAGAAAAAGGAAAGAGAAAGGCCCAGAUUGAAUCUAGGCUGCACAGUGCUCAAGUGAGAGAUUUGAGAGAAUAGAUGGAGCUGACCUGGUUUGCAAAGAGGAAGCAAUUAGUAAGGAAAAUAGGGUUUGUUGUUGUUGUAAAAUACUAGUAGUAAUGGAGCUGGAGUUGCACUGAAACUAAAUUGCUGGAUUGUUUCUCUCAAACACACUUCCCAAUUGUCCACUACUCCUAAAAAACUGGGUCUUUGAUUUCUAGCACCAAUCAGGUGGUUUUCCUCUGCAACUGAUUCUCUUGAAAACCCCAAAACCCUGGUUUCCCCUGCAUCAAUUUACAGCAUCAAAGCUUGGAAAUUAGAGAAGACAUGUGCAGACCUCUGGGCUCACCACAUGGCACUUUCCCUCCAAUUUCCAUAGAGAAAAACAAAACAUCCAAACAAUAGAAAAUUCCCAACUACUAUAUUACUAUAUAUUCAAUACUACUAUAUUCUCCUUCAUUUAUUUCUUUGCAAUUCCAAGAAAACCAUUAUCACAACCAUAUACCUGAAAGCUUCCUAAGAGAUUCAAAGAUGGAUAAACACAUCACCCAAAGAACUUAUGUAAAAAGAACCCAUUUUCAUAUUUGUACUCUGCUCUUCUUCAAAGUUCAAACCAAUCAACCUGUGCAGGCCUAUGAAACUCAAAAAACUCGACUCUUUUUGUGAAGCCAAAGUGACUUUCUUUCACAAAUCUCUGUUCCAAUAGACUCAAAACACCACUGAACUGAAAGUUUAUAGUCUAUAGGGCUCUUUCUCUAUCUGCCAAAACUUUUUAGAAUACCCAUCAUCAAAAGAUUCAUUUUUCUUUCUUUUAGCCACCCUUUUGGAAAACUGCAGGAACUGAUCAAGUAUCAAGAGAAAAUAACCAACCCCUUCAGUAAAAUUUUCAGAUCAUUUGGUUGAAUCAUGACAUCAAAACUUUUCAAUGCAUAUGACUUGUCAGAUAUUAUUGGUACUACAUGCUAUAUCUGCUAUUUCAGGCCUUCUUUGGGACAUAAUAUCAAGCAUCUAACAUGCAUUAAAAUUAUCCAAAAGCCCAAUGCCUGCAGAUAUCUUCUUCCUUAGAAAACUAUAUUGCUUCAUUAAGGUUAGAUUUCUUUGAAUUUAAACAUCUCCCUGUGAUUUUAAGAACAUUGUUAACUGUUAAAAAGAUAGCACCAACAAAAAUGUCACCAACACUAUUUGGGUAGUACUUAAAAAAGGGUAAUGCCAUUAUCGAGUUUCCAUUAUAAUCCAUGCUUUUGUCUUGGUUUGGUGCCUUGAAUGAUGGCUUUAUGCAUGCUUUAGGCAUAUGCUGCAUCAAUAUGUCUCUCUUUCUAUAUAUAAAAUCUAGAAAGAUGAUAUGGGUGCAAGUUGUGGGACACAAGAAGAAGCCCAU
This 1678-nucleotide long non-coding RNA is filed under the name Panax ginseng (ginseng). RNAcentral describes it as "long non-coding RNA (PGIN_LNC014931)". The record is from RNAcentral. Lineage: Eukaryota; Viridiplantae; Streptophyta; Magnoliopsida; Apiales; Araliaceae.